CCAUUCUAUAAUAUUUCGGUGUA
This 23-nucleotide non-coding RNA is filed under the name Arabidopsis thaliana (thale cress). The record is from RNAcentral. Lineage: Eukaryota; Viridiplantae; Streptophyta; Magnoliopsida; Brassicales; Brassicaceae.